RNAcentral lists this ribosomal RNA (1234 nucleotides) under metagenome. RNAcentral describes it as "bacterial LSU rRNA". It matches the Rfam family "Bacterial large subunit ribosomal RNA", at positions 1564 to 2808 of the family's 2925-position model. The record is from RNAcentral.
UGAAUACGAGAUGCUACGGCAUUGAAGCAGUGUAUGUCAGACUUCCAAGAAAAGCUCGCAAUGUCAUAAACAAUAAAUGCCUGUACCAUAACCGACACAGGUGGGUAGGUAGAGUAUACUAAGGGGCGCGAGAUAACUCUCUCUAAGGAACUCGGCAAAAUGACUCCGUAACUUCGGGAGAAGGAGUGCCUUAUUUUAUAAGGUUGCAAUAACAAGAUCCAAGCAACUGUUUACCAAAAACACAGGUCUCCGCUAAGUCGAAAGACGAUGUAUGGGGGCUGACGCCUGCCCAGUGCCAGAAGGUUAAAGAAGUUGGUUAGCUUCGGCGAAGCUGAUGACUGAAGCCCUGGUGAACGGCGGCCGUAACGAUAACGGUCCUAAGGUAGCGAAAUUCCUUGUCGGGUAAGUUCCGACCCGCACGAAAGGCGUAAUGAUUUGGAUACUGUCUCGGAGAGGGGCUCGGUGAAAUAGACUUGUCUGUGAAGAUGCGGACUACCUGCACCUGGACAGAAAGACCCUAUGAAGCUUUACUGUAACUUGAGAUUGAAAUUGGACUUUAUUUGCGCAGUAUAGGUGGGAGACGUUGAGAAUAUUCUUGCGGGAAUAUUGGAGUCAUCAGUGAGAUACCACUCUUGUAAUGUUAGAUUUCUAACUUUGUAUCAUUAUCUGGUCAAAGGACAGUUUCAGCGGGCAGUUUGACUGGGGCGGUCGCCUCCUAAACGGUAACGGAGGCGCACAAAGGUUUCCUCUGAACGUGUAGAAAUCGUAUCUAGAGUGUAAAGGCAUAAGGAAGCUUGACUGUGAGACCUACAAGUCGAGCAGGGACGAAAGUCGGUCUUAGUGAUCUGACGGUGCUGAGUGGAAAGGCCGUCACUCAACGGAUAAAAGUUACUCUAGGAUAACAGGCUGAUCUCCCCCAAGAGUUCACAUCGACGGGGAGGUUUGGCACCUCGAUGUCGGCUCAUCGCAUCCUGGGGCGGUAGUACGUCCCAAGGGUUGGGCUGUUCGCCCAUGAAAGCGGUACGCGAGCUGGGUUCAGAACGUCGUGAGACAGUUCGGUCCAUAUCCGGUGUAGGCGUUAGAAUAUUGAGAGGAGCCUUCUUUAGUACGAGAGGACCGAGAAGGACAUACCUCUGGUGUACCAGUUAUCGUGCCAACGGUAAACGCUGGGUAGCUAUGUAUGGAGUGGAUAACCGCUGAAAGCAUCUAAGUGGGAAGCCCACCUCAAGAUAAG